CAGCUCGUCAUGCUAGAGCACUUUUUCAAUGUGCUCCCCAACGACAAGGCGACGACGCAUUCGUAUGUCAAUCCAUAUCAACUUUCGAUGCCAUUUACUGCGCCUACCAUGGUGACCACGGGUAACGGGGAAUCAGGGUUCAAUUCCGUACAGGGACCCUGACAAAGGGCUACCACAUGCAAGGAAGGCAGCAGGCACGCAAAUGACCCACUCCCGACGCGGGGAGGUAGUGA
Non-coding RNA from Pelobates cultripes (western spadefoot toad), 233 nucleotides. NCBI's taxonomy places the organism in Eukaryota, Metazoa, Chordata, Amphibia, Anura, Pelobatidae. The record is from the annotation of a GenBank genome assembly.